Molecule: transfer RNA, 64 nt
Filed under: Pyrearinus termitilluminans (Brazilian larval click-beetle)
Lineage: Eukaryota; Metazoa; Arthropoda; Insecta; Coleoptera; Elateridae
Description: tRNA-Tyr
Rfam family: tRNA
About the family: Transfer RNA (tRNA) molecules are approximately 80 nucleotides in length. Their secondary structure includes four short double-helical elements and three loops (D, anti-codon, and T loops).
Source: RNAcentral
AGUGAGGUGGCUGAGUUUAAGCGAUAAACUGUAAAUUUAUCAACGGAUUUUUAUCCCCUUACUA